This 3298-nucleotide long non-coding RNA is filed under the name Homo sapiens (human). Its description in RNAcentral is "HSALNT0219047". Lineage: Eukaryota; Metazoa; Chordata; Mammalia; Primates; Hominidae. The record is from RNAcentral.
GCAAUGAGGUCCCAAAACACUCUCCCAAAGUGCAGAUCAUGGGAUGGUAAGAGAAUGUUUCUGUACCCGAAAAUAGUGUUUCUGUCAUUCAGGCAAGAUUCUAGCUUUGCCUUUUCCCUACUUCCCAUUUUCUACCUCAGAAACAGAAAUUGGAAUAUGAGAGGGUGGAGAAUCGCUUUAGAGGAACUGAAACAGAGUUUGUAAGUUGAAUGGUUUCUAGCCCAUGUGUAAACCUGGGUGCGGUGUGAGAGGAGCUCUGCACGACUCCACGGAAGGGAACCCAGUGAGUUGUAGCUAUAGUUUCUUAAUUGAUUUAGAGGUGACAGCGUAAACAAUGGCUCUAAAAAAAGGUGAAACUCCAUUUACCAAAACCAAAUUUGACACUAGCUCCCAAAGCUAACUUGUUAAUACAGAUUUAUCUUAGGCUAGUGAAGUGGCACUAAAUUUGAAACUGAGAGUCUUGGGUGCUGUCUUUUAUCUGUCUUGUGGCUUACUGAAUGGUCACAAAUAAGUCAAGUGACCUCUUCAUGUUCCAGUUCCUUUUCAGUAAUGGGACUAACCAUAGGAAAAAAUAGUAUUGGCCUAAAAUGCUGAUCUCUUUCCUUUGACCCUGAAAACUCCAAGGAACUCCAGUUAGGGCUUCCUCAACCUAGUAAGAUUUGUAAGUUGGUAGAAUCUUACUUAUCACCCCUGACUUUCUUCCUUCUUCCUCCUUAGUGAAAUAGACAGCAAGUUAGAGCAAAUGGAGCAAUAUUUAGUGCUAAAGCUUUAGAGCCAGGGGAGGGUAAUCACCAACACGGGCCAAGCCGUAAUGACUUGGUACACCCAGAGAAGGCUGGGCUGCAGCCAGGCAGAUAACCUAAGGGACUGCUGCUGUUCUCUCCCGGCACACACACGUGCUCAUCACUCAGCGCCUGGCAAGAUCAGGGCUGGAGUGACACAGGCAUGCAUCCAAUACCUGAUCCAGAAAUAGGCCCUGGCUGCAGGCACAGCAAGUAAACAAACGUCCCGCCAGCUGUGGCCGAGGUGCACCCUUCCAAGCAGACCUGCCCACCAGGACCAUUGCUGGAAGACGGAAGCCCUGGAGCCUCUCCCUGGCCCUGUUUUGGAAGGAGUCCUCCAAGGCUGAGAACAGCCCCAGCCACAUGAAGCAGGCAAGGUUUUCUUGAAAAUUCUAAAUUAUCCCAACCAGCUUUGGCCCUACGUCAGUUAUAAGACUCAAGAUAGGAUACUGCCAUUGGGAUGUUAGGUUUGUGCGAGGGCUGUUUACUUGAGCCCAGAAAUAGGUUAUUUAAGGCAGAGAUUCAUUCAUCUAACCAAUAUUUGUUGAGCCCCUGCCAUGUUCCAGGCAUGGUGCAUGGUGUUAAAUAAAGCAGAACGGCAUCUUCCCACAUAGAAUGAUGGAGGGGGGAGUAGAGCCUACCUCAUUAAUUCUGUGGAAGUUGUAAGCACAAGGUGCUUUGAGAGCACAUGGGAAGGAGAUAUGAGAGCCCUAGACCAGUUGGAGUGGGGUAGGAGAGAGGCCGUGUUAGGGGAGCUGAGUCCAUAGAAAUGAAUAGGAGUGAGAGGAAAUAGAAGAGUAAGAGCAUGGGGACCAAGAGGAGUCCUGGAAGAGGAAAACAGCAUGUGCAAAGCCCUAAAAGCAAAAGGGAACUUGGAGGAUGGAAGGUAGUUCAGUGUAGCUGGAGCACAAAGAACAAAGGAGGGACAGACGAGAGGUGAGGGUGGAAAUUACUAAACAAGGCCAGGUGUGAAGGAUUUUAUAAACCAUGUUAAGGAGUUUGGAGUUUAUUGUGGGAGAACAGGGAGCUAAUGGCUGAUUUUAAGAGGGGCAGUGACAAGAUGAGAUUUACAUCUAGAAGGUUAUGGCUGCCAUGGGUUUGCCAUAAUUAAAGUGAUUGAGGGUGGACAAGUUAUUCACACUUGGCAGCGAUACAUGUCUAUGUGAAAUGGUUUUUCUUUGUUUUUAUUUUCUACUUCAAUUUUUCUUGUUAUUUUUUCACUAUUACAGAACAAGUAGAAUCAUGUAUGGCAGAUUGUAUUUUCCAAAGAUGGCCAAAUCAGUGUAUCCCAUCCCACUCAUUCAUGUUCCAGUGUGAUGUGGACACUCCUCCCCUGAGAUCUUCAGUCAAUAUUCCCUCCCUUUGAACCUGGGCAGACCUAUGUAACUGCCUUGCUAAUAGAGUACAGCAUAAAUAAUGGGACUUCUGAGGCAAGGUCAUGAAAGCACUCCACCUGGGGUCUCUCUCUCUCUCUCUCAGCAUGCUCCUUGGUAGUUCUGAGCCGGCAUGUAAGAAGUCGGCCACAGAGAGGUAGAGAAGCCCAGGGAGUCCCAGCUGUUUGAGUCUUCCCACCCCAGGCAUCAGACAUAUAAGCAAAGACCCAUUGCUCCUGGGACUAGAAGCAGAAACCCCCUACCCAGGGGCAGAAGCAGGAAACUGUCCUGGGCUGAAGAUUCAAGCGAAGGUCCACUCUGUUGUGGGGAGGGCAAGAACUUUGGCUAAUCCCAGAUGAACCACAUAUAAGGCAGAGUUUGGCUUCCAUAGGGAAGAGGGACAGAAACACUGAGAAAGUCCCACUGCUGAAGCUCGGGUGCCUAGGACCUAUUUAAGACUGAAGCCGGGCCAGGGUAACAGAAUCAACCCUGCCCUGCCCUGCCUGAGCCUGGCACCAGAUCACAAGCAACAGAAGUCUUCUGCCAGCUGAAAAGCUGAGUGUGGGACAGCAGCACUGAGGAAGCCCUGACACCCCAGUCCCCACUCUAAGCAGCCCACCACUAGAGGAAUUUGAAACCUGGGGUGCACUGAAGGUAAUGAGAGCACAACCAAACCCAAACCCUGUCCAAUUCCUAACAAGACUGACUCAACCCCCCAGACCAACAGGCUGACAGAAGAGGCAGCCCCACUCCCAGAUACAGAUACUAUUUACCUCAGUCUCUGCUGUUUUAUACACCAUGGGCAUUCAGUUAAAAAACUGCAAAACAUAGGUCAGGCGCUAUGGCUCACACUUGUAAUCCUAGCACUUUGGGAGGCCGAGACAGGUGUAUCACCUGAGGUCAGGAGUUUCAGACCAGCCUGGUCAACAUGGCGAAACCCCAUCUCUACUAAAAAUACAAAAAUUAGCCAGGUGUUGGUGGUGUGUGCCUGUAGUCCCAGCUACUCCACAGGCUGAGGCAGGAGAAUCACUUGAACCUGGGAGGGUGAGGUUGCAGUGAGCUGAGAUGGCCCCACUACACUCCAGCCUGGGCAACAGAGCAAGACUGUCUCAAAAAAAAAAAAAUUGCAAAACACACAAAAAG